RNAcentral lists this ribosomal RNA (497 nucleotides) under uncultured bacterium. RNAcentral's name for it is "partial 16S ribosomal RNA". It matches the Rfam family "Bacterial small subunit ribosomal RNA", at positions 28 to 507 of the family's 1533-position model. The record is from RNAcentral.
GAUGAACGCUGGCGGCGUGCCUAAUACAUGCAAGUCGAGCGAACAGAUGAGGAGCUUGCUCCUCUGACGUUAGCGGCGGACGGGUGAGUAACACGUGGAUAACCUACCUAUAAGACUGGGAUAACUUCGGGAAACCGGAGCUAAUACCGGAUAAUAUAUUGGACCGCAUGGUUCAAUAGUGAAAGACGGUUUUGCUGUCACUUAUAGAUGGAUCCGCGCCGCAUUAGCUAGUUGGUAAGGUAACGGCUUACCAAGGCAACGAUGCGUAGCCGACCUGAGAGGGUGAUCGGCCACACUGGAACUGAGACACGGUCCAGACUCCUACGGGAGGCAGCAGUAGGGAAUCUUCCGCAAUGGGCGAAAGCCUGACGGAGCAACGCCGCGUGAGUGAUGAAGGUCUUCGGAUCGUAAAACUCUGUUAUUAGGGAAGAACAAAUGUGUAAGUAACUAUGCACGUCUUGACGGUACCUAAUCAGAAAGCCACGGCUAACUACGUG